UACGUAGGGGCCAAGCGUUGUCCGGAUUUAUUGGGCGUAAAGAGCUCGUAGGCGGUUCGAUAAGUCGGACGUGAAAUCUCCACGCUCAACGUGGAGGGGCCGUUCGAUACUGUCGUGACUCGAGUCCGGUAGGGGAGUGUGGAAUUCCCGGUGUAGCGGUGAAAUGCGCAGAGAUCGGGAGGAACACCAAUUGCGAAGGCAGCUCGCUGGGACGUUACUGACGCUGAGACGCGAAAGCGUGGGGAGCAAACAGG
This 254-nucleotide ribosomal RNA is filed under the name uncultured bacterium. RNAcentral's name for it is "partial 16S ribosomal RNA". It matches the Rfam family "Bacterial small subunit ribosomal RNA", at positions 524 to 776 of the family's 1533-position model. The record is from RNAcentral.